CGGGUAAGUUCCGACCUGCACGAAUGGUGUAACGAUCUGGAAACUGUCUCAGCCGUGAGCUCGGUGAAAUUGUAAUAUCGGUGAAGAUGCCGAUUACUCGCAAUGGGACGAAAAGACCCUGUGAACCUUUACUAUAGCUUCGUAUUGGUUUUGAUUAAAAAAUGUGUAGGAUAGGUGGGAGACUUUGAAGUACUGUCGUAAGAUAGUAUGGAGUCAACCUUGAAAUACCACCCUUUUUUUAAUUGAAAUCUAACUUAAUUAUUUAUUGAGGACAUUGCGUGGUGGGUAGUUUGACUGGGGUGGUCGCCUCCAAAAAGGUAACGGAGGCUCCCAAAGGUACCCUCAACACGUUUGGUAAUCGUGUGUAGAGUGUAAUGGCAUAAGGGUGCUUGACUGUGAGACCUACAAGUCGAUCAGGUACGAAAGUAGGGCAUAGUGAUCCGGUGGUUCCGCAUGGAAGGGCCAUCGCUCAAAGAAUAAAAGGUACUCCCGGGGAUAACAGGCUAGUAUCCCCCAAGAGCUCAUAUCGACGGGGAGGUUUGGCACCUCGAUGUCGGCUC
RNAcentral lists this ribosomal RNA (560 nucleotides) under Blattabacterium punctulatus. RNAcentral describes it as "bacterial LSU rRNA". It matches the Rfam family "Bacterial large subunit ribosomal RNA", at positions 1973 to 2538 of the family's 2925-position model. The record is from RNAcentral. Lineage: Bacteria; Pseudomonadati; Bacteroidota; Flavobacteriia; Flavobacteriales; Blattabacteriaceae.